This is a long non-coding RNA of Heterocephalus glaber (naked mole-rat), 5725 nucleotides long. The record is from Ensembl. Lineage: Eukaryota; Metazoa; Chordata; Mammalia; Rodentia; Bathyergidae.
GAGAGACGAGGUAAUGAGCAGCCCAAAUUAUGUUUAAAGCAGCGGUUCUCAAACCUGAAGGACUUGUUAAAACAUUCUAGGAGAGACCUCUGAGGGUUUUUUUUUUCUAAUUAAGUUUAUUGGUGCAUUUUAGGUGUAAAUUAUGAUCACAUGCAUCAUAGGGAAUUUGUGUCUGUAUAUGAUAUAUCUUGUUUUUGUUUUGGUGCCAGGGAUCAAACUCAGGAUCUUGUGGUUGCCAGGCAGGUGCUAAGCUACAUCCCCAGCUGUAUAAGGUGUAUCUUGGUUCUUACUUUUUCCCCAUUCCUCUUCCCUCCCUUCAGCUCCUCCAUCCCUCCAUAUUUACAAAAGCCUUGUCUCCAUUUUUUCCUUCUCAGUUUUUCUUUCCCUCGGCUCCCUCCUAGUUCCCCUUUUAACAUUUUCUUAUUUCCCGAAAAAUAUGGACUGCUUCAUGAAUUUGCAUCUCAUCCUUGCUCAGGGUCCACUCUAAUCUCUGUAUCAUUGCAAUUUUAGUGUAUGUGCUGCUGAAUCUAGCACCCCCAAGUUUCUUCAGUAAAUUUGGGGGUGAGGCCUCAAUUAGUGUUUCUAACAGGGCCACAGGUGAAGCUGUUGCUCCUGGUUUAGGGAACAUACUUUGAGAGCCACUGUUUAGGACAUCAAGAAAAAAAUUGGAAAGAUUUGGUAUUUCACACAAAGCUUUGAAGUACUUAUGGGGCAAAUCAGAAACUUGGGCUUCAUUACCUUUAGGGUUUGUUGUGAUUUUUAAAGCUUAUUUUUGGACACAUAAUAUUUGUAUGUAUUUGUGGAGUACUGUACAAUUUUGAUACAUGUAUACAAUGUUUAAUGACCAAAUCAUGCUAUUUUCUAUAUCAUCAAUCAUUUCUACGUAUUGGUAACUCAUGCUUUUCUAGUUAUUUGAAAAUACAGAUUUUUGUAGCCUAUUAGACUAUUGAACACCAGAACUAAUUUCUUCUAUGUGACUGUGUUUUCUCCCCGAUCUAAUCUCUCUGCAUUGUUCUUCAUCUCCUUCCUGGUCUCUAUUCCACUUUUUUGAUACCAAUUUUUUAGUUUCUACAAAUGAGCAAGAACAUGGAGUAUUUGCUUCAUGUGCCUGGCUUAUUUCACUUAACAUGAUGUCCUCCAAAGUGUGAUUUUUAAAAAUAUUUCAAAUUGUAUUUGAGGAGGGACAUAAAACUACCAUAAUUCUUUCAUUGGUAGAGCUAGCAGUCCUAAGCUCUAUAUGAACCCCCAAGCCAAAGCAUUUCUUUAUAUAAACUUCAGCUUUCAACCCCCUAUGAUAAUGUCUCCUUCAUGUGGAUUUUCCCUGUGGGUCUUGUAGUAGCCCACAACAAAAUACCAUGUGGAGAAUAGCAAAAUCUCUCAUGCUCAAAUCUCACUUUUCUCGACAAAAAGCCAUAGGACAGAAAUACUGUUUGUCUUGUCUUCCAGAUCGAUAGGCAGAUAUAUUUUGAAAGUUCAAGCCUAUGACAGAAAACCUGACACACAUGGCAUGCAAAUACAGAGGACCUGCCAGGGUUAUAGAAAUGAAGUGCUUUUGUUUUUGUAUAAAUUUUCCAUUUGUUCUUGCACUUUGUGCUGUCUACCAUCCCAGGAAAUACUUCUAUUUUAAAUGGAGGAAAUCAGGAGCAGGAAGCUUUCAAACAUGCCCAGAACCAUACAGCUCAUGAGGUAUAUGAAGUGAAGGCGCGUGGCUUCCAAACUCUGCAUUCUUUUCUUCAGAACAUAUUGUAAUUCAAAUGCCAGAACACUGGAUCUAAAGGGAAGAAAGGAUUUGAUAUUUUUAACCCUGUAAAGUAGAAUGUAAAAAAGACAACAAUUUCCAAGUCCAUGAAGCAGUUACCAUGUAGUUAGAAAUCAGAUGCAAUUUAUGAUACCUAAGGAAAGAACAAUAGGGAAAUGAAAUAGAGAAGUAGAAAAGGUUUAAGGUAAAACAUCUGAAUAGUUAGCUAACAGUCAGGGUCAGAAAGAAAUUCUAUUGGCCCUUAAAAGAAGACGGGGCAGAAAACUCAUGGGUUCCGUUAAAUCCUACUGUGUUACAAGCCACUCCCAAAAUGUAGUGGCUUAAAAACAAAGUGUGUUUGCUCACAGUUCUCUGGGUUAGAGGUGCGGAUGGGUGAGUGAGGAUGGCUGUUUCCGCUCCGUGUGUUGACGGGGGUGCCUCAGCUGGAAGAUCUAAGACAUCUUCAUCUGGGCCCGGUGCCGCUGGGUGGGACCCCUGGGACCCCUCCCACCCCGUGUGGCGACCAGGUGGGAAGACUGAGGCCUAAUUGGCCUCUUCGGCCAGCACUGAGAGGAAAAGGGGGAUCCAAGCGAGCUAACACGCCGCAGGGAGAAGUAGAAACACCGGAGGGUAGGUUGUUUACCCGGAGAAGUACCGUGGGGGUGGAGACAGAUGGAUUCUGUGAACUGUAAUUGCUCUGCCCGUGUCUGGGUGAAUAAAGCCAAGGUGGCCAGUGGCUUGCGGCUCUAUAUCGAAGGGAGACGUGAGCUCUCUGGCCUCCCAGAUUUUAACCUGUUUCUGUGUCUCUAUUUUUCAUUCUUAUCACCCCUUGGCCAGGUUCGAGCUCAGCUGGUGGGCUGGUUCCUGCCCUCCCAUCCCUCUGGUCUUGAGAAAGUAGCCCAGCUUGAGCAUUUUUCACGUGAUACGUUUGUGAGAGCGUGAAAAGGGUCACGCAGCCUUCUGUGGUGUCAGUUAAAGCAAGUCACUGGGCCAGCCUGGGUUCAAAGUGAUGGGAAACCUACUCUACUCUUGAGGGGAGAAGGGUACAAGCUCGCUGCAAAAAAAAAAAAGGGGGCACGGUUAGGCUGAGUAAAAGAAGCCAGACAGGGCUGGGGAUUUGAUUUAGCUCAGUGGUUCUGUCUGCCCUGUAAGUGCAAGGACCCGGGGUUCAAUCCCCGGUACAAAAAAAAGCUAGCCACAAAAGAGUGCAUUGUUUGAUUAUAUGAAAUUCUAGAAAAGGCAAACUAAUAGAUAGUGGCGGAAAGUAAAUCACUGGUUGCUCAAGGCUGGAAAGAAGGGAUUGCUAGCAAAGGGGGAUGAGGGAAAUUGAGGGCGUAGUGGCUAUACCCCACACCUUGAGUGGUAAUAUAUACAGAGAUGUACACGUUUGUGAAAGUGCAUGAUUUUACAGUAAUUAGGUAAAUAUCUUAAAAAUAAGAUCGGAAAUGGGAAGGAUUGUUGAGACCAUCUUCAGAAAUAACCAUAUGUGAAAGCUUAGAUCUGAAAGGACAUUAGAAGAUCUUCUGGUCCAAUGUCCUACAAAUAAGGAAAGAGAGGCCCAGAGAGAGCAACUUGCCAACUUAGGGAGUCAGUAACAAAACUAGGAUUGGAAUCUAGACUAACCACAGCCUUGCUGUCAUUCCUCCCAAACCCUCUGAAAUCAGGGAAAGGACACCCUAGGCUCGCAUCAACAAGACUCCCCUACAUAUAAGAGCUGGGCCACACGAACUGCAUCUCCUCGUAUUUGCAGAAUCAGAUUCUGCCCUCGUAUUUAUCGAUCACGGUCACGGUUGCUGGGGAAGGGGAAGCAGGAGGGGUGAGGAAAACGUGCCCAGGGGACUGAGGAAAUGAGGAUGAAGCGCCCUCCCAGGACAUCUUACCUACCAGAGGCUGCCGAUUUCUGAUACCCGGCAAUUUGCACGCUCCCGGGAAGCAUGUGCUUGUGAAAUGUUUCGUGAACGAAGGAAAGAGGUGUAGCUGCCCAGAUUCCUGCUGCGGCCCCAGGGAACCUUGCGGUGUUUCCCAAUCCCGCCAGAAGUGGAGUAAAGUUGUGUUUGACAAUCAUUGCCUCAAGUUGCUCGACGAACUAACGUUUCUGGCUUAGAACAGUUUGCUGGCCCUGGGAGAAGCAGAGCCAGUGACUGGUGAGAGAGAGAACUUAGAAGUGACAGAGUUGCCUCCUCAGCCUACGCUUGGGGAUCCCUUCCCUGUCCCCCAGCUUUGCUUAGCCUUGGAACUCGCCGGCACCUACUGGAGAGGUGGGGAGCAAGUACAGCAAAUGUCUGUCAGGCAAGAGAGCAAGGAAUGAAAAUGAAAAUGCCAUAGAAAGCUGCCAGGAUUAGACACAGAUGGGUCAGGAGCCAAGCAAAGUUCACCAUGGGCCCUUGAGAAUGUCUCUUGGUAUUUCUGACAAUACAAAAUCAAUUUACAUUUAUUUAAAAAAAUUUUAUUGGUAUAUUUUAGGUACACAAUAUAAUGACAUUCAUCACUGGAAAUUUGUACCUUCACAUAAUCUUUCUUGGUUCUUAUUUUUCCCCCUUCCCGUGCUCUCCUUUAAACCCCUCCAUCCCUUCCUAUUUACAAAGAUUUUGUUUCCAUUUUUUCAUUUUCUCAUAUUAAUUCCAUUCCCUUCUUUCCUUUCCUUAUACAUUUAAUACAUUUUAAAAUAGCUAACCUGCCCAUAUUACUUGCUAUUACUAUGGGAAGAUAAAAUUGAAUCUUAAUGUGGUUCACGAGUGUAUUCAAUGGAGAUUUAUUAUUUCUAAAAAUGCUUUGUGUAAUCACAGUACUUUAUCAUUGAAAUGUUGAGGUUUUGUGAUAUAAAUUAGCUUCAUAAUUAAAAUGCUAUUGUCUACUAAUGCUACCACAGCAUUUUCCCCAAGGCAGAGACACUCUUAAAAAAAAAAAAAAAAAAAAAUCCUAUACACUGUCAAGGAUGAGUGAGCUCCUCUUAAGAGAGUCCUCCUUCACAUCCCUUAUUUAUUAAUACUGCUUUAUUCUCCCCUGGAUUGACCGUAUCAGAAUGAGUGCUAAUGAAGCCAAAGAGCACAAAAUUGGAAGUAGUCGUCAUCUCAGCCAAGGGGUGCAGUGGUCUGCAGAAUACCCACACCUCUGGUUUUACAGUGGCAUUGCUUCCUGAGGCUCAUCAAACGAUGUGGUUAGGGAAAUCAUAAAAGUAUAGAGAGAUAUACGAUCCAGUCUUUUGAAGUUCCAGGGGUCAGGGAUGUGGCUUUACUGGUAGUGCAUUCACUCAGUGCACAUAGGCUCUAGGUUUGACCACAUGUGUGGCAAAAAAUACAAACAAGAAGUUCCUGUUUGGCCAGAGUAGCUGAUUCCGCGUGGUUUUAGGGGAGGGACUGGGAAAGGUGUAAGGAAGGCACAGAAAAGCUGGGCUGACAGUGACCUGGGCUGGAAGGACGGUGGAAAAGAGCCAGGAAAUAUUCCUCCUGGUGUCUCGGCUGUUACAACCCAGGUGGUCAAGAACAAAAGACGAGUUUUGGGGCAUGCUGCUCUUGAAAGCACAGUAUAUUUCAACUGCGAGACAAAGCAGCCCCCCAGGUGCCUAAAAGAAACCAGACUCCGUGGGCUCAGGCAAACUGGGCAUUGGAACUUAAAUGCUCAUAAUCACCUCCCAUCCUGGUUGUCCUUUAGGUUGCUGUUUAUGCAAAGAUGAUAAAAUGGAACUGAUUAGAGCAGAGGCAUUCGCCCUUCUGCUACUAAGAACUCUCUUCAUUUUGCCGGAUCCUCAUCUCGGCAAAGGAAAUCAUAAACGUUUCUCUACUUUGAUUAGACACAGCAUCUGACCAGCAUAAAAGGCCACGUACUGCCUGCCCUACAGUGCUGAUAUACUUCUAGCCAAAAGGGAGGGCACAGGGGAUUUCAGGUACAGGAAACAACCCCGAAGCAGGGCCAGCUAUGAUUAUUGUUAAAUGCUUUGAAAUCUUUAAAAUAGCCUGAGGACUCCUUGCGCUGUUGUGAACCCUCUCC